UACGUAGGUGGCAAGUGUUGUCCGGAUUUAUUGGGUUUAAAGGGUGCGUAGGCGGCUUUGUAAGUCAGUGGUGAAAUAUGGCAGCUCAACUGUCAAGGUGCCAUUGAUACUGCAGAGCUUGAGUACAGAUGAGGUAGGCGGAAUUGACGGUGUAGCGGUGAAAUGCUUAGAUAUCGUCAAGAACACCUAUAGCGAAGGCAGCUUACUAGGCUGUAACUGACGCUGAGGCACGAAAGUGUGGGGAUCAAACAGG
This 253-nucleotide ribosomal RNA is filed under the name uncultured bacterium. RNAcentral's name for it is "partial 16S ribosomal RNA". It matches the Rfam family "Bacterial small subunit ribosomal RNA", at positions 524 to 776 of the family's 1533-position model. The record is from RNAcentral.